AUUUAAGUUGACUUUUGUAUAAGGUAAGAGAUGGGAAUUCAGUUUCAUUUCUUGGGAUAUAGCUUGCCAAUUAUCCAAGCACCAUAUGUUGAGUAGGGUGUUCUUUCCCCACUUUAUAUUGUUUGCUUUGUCAAAGACCAGUUGGCUGUAAGUAUUUGAGUUUACUUCUGGGUUCUCUAUUAUGUUUCAUUGGUCUAUGUGCUUAUUUUUAUACCAGUAUUAUGCUGUUUUGCUGACUAUGGGUUUGUAGUAUAGAUUGAAGUCAGGUAAUGUAAUGCCUCCAGAUUUGUUCUUUCUGCUUAGUCUUGCUUUGGCUAUGUGGGCUCGUUUUUUUUUUCCCAUAUGAAUUUUAGAAUUAUCAGGAGCCACCAGGUGCUGCAGCAGCUUUGGGAUAACUUGAGGGCGCAUCCUGGGGAAGAAACACCUCCUGUCCAUGGUGCUAACUGCUGAGGACAGUGCUUCGGCGUGGCUUCUCCGUGGCCCAGCUUCUUUGGGGCGUUUUUCUUUCAUGGUUCAUCCAUAUGGCUCCAAAUGAAAAUUACAUUAAUUAUGGAUGAAGAGUAUUGUGUUGUGCAGAUAUACUGCAGUUUCUUCAUCCCUUCAUCUAUGGAUGGACAGGUUUCUCCAUCUUGCUGGUAGUGAACUGAUGUCCGGAAGUUUGAUGGCCGAAGAGUAUACCGUUGUGCAUAUAUCCUUCAAUUCCUGAUUUUAUCAUCUGUAGAAAGACAAAAAUCUUCAGACUGAUUUCCACAGUUUGAGAUCUAGUUUGCAUUACCUCCAAGAGAAUAGCCAUGUUUGCUUUUCUCUGCUGCCACACCAGCAUGUUAUGUUUUGACUUAGGACAAAUGGCCACUCUGACCAGCGUGUGAUGGCACCGGUACCUCAUCUCUGAUGAUUGGUGAUGUUGAGCAUUCCCCACGCCUGUUGGAAUGGCAAUCCCUUGGAAAUGUCUUCUCAAUAGUUACUACCCAUAGAGAACAGACCCUCCCAGUCUUCAGUGCACUCUAAAUACUGGCUAAUUCUGGCCAAUGGAAGGCAUCUGUGGAAGAAAAAAGCCUCAGAUCAUGUGCUGUCUGUCUUUAUUCAGUGUGACAUAUUAGGUAAUGGUCACAGACACUCACCAUGGCCCCAGUUUUUAAUAACAUGACCCUGCUUUUGUGUUCCAGUAACUUCUGUUGUUUUCCCAAUCCUAAGUAUGAUAGAAACUUCCUGCUGCUGCUAAUCUCUGGGUUCCAUUUAAAAUCCUUCCAUCACAUGAAUACUAUGCUGUGUUCUAAAUUUUUCCAUAAUUAAAUACUUACAAUUAUUUUUGCCUACUUCUUUUGCCCCUUAGUGAUAUGUUUUAAAAACACUUAUAAUGUGUCACAAUAUAUUUAGCAAAUGUAGGGAAUGACAUUUUUACUUUCGUCAGCAUUUACACUAGCAUUUAUGGAGCGAUGCUAUAUAAAGUAUUUUUAGUAAUUUAAACGUUAUAUAACAGAUAUCCGUUGAUUCCUUUGUUUCUACGUAAAUAAGUAUACUUGAGAUAUUCAGUAAACAGUAUUGAAUACAUGUUUCAUUUGUAUAAUAUAAAAUUAUGAUUAUUCUUUUUAAACAGUACAUCAUAUUUGCUUGUUGGCUUUAUGAUAACUUAGAAAUAAUAUUCUGGAUUAACUGUGUGACUCAUGAGAAGAUUUGUGCAACUAUGUUUCCAAAUUUACUUGAUUUUCAAGACUUACACUAGAACUGUGAGAACAGGGUAAUAAAUAAGCAUAUGUAUUAAUAUCACCUUUGGUCAACUCUUGGGUAGCCCCAACGGUAGUGUAGGAAUUAACGUAAUUUUUCCUACUAAAAGUAUUGGAUUUGUUUUGAGAGACCACAGUUGAAAAUCAUUGACAUACAAAGUUUAAAAAUUGUUAGGUUAAAAAAUUUUAAAUGCAUUUGAAGUGGUUUUAUAGAAAAAUAAUUAUCUAACUUGGUUUAUAUUGACAGGUUGUUUUCUUGGAUAAGAACUAGACGAAGAGAAAGGGAGAUUAGUGAUAAAUGUCCAGGUUUUCAAGUUGAAAAGUAACAAUCAGUGUAUUACAACAGAUGGAUGUGAUGUCAAAUUACAAAUGCUGAAAACGUUAUAUGUAAUCAUGUAGCCAGAGUAAUCAUACAAGGCAAAGAACGGAAAGGCAUCCAAAUAGGAAAGAGGCUGGAAUGCAGUGGCACCAUCUCAGCUCACUGCAACCUCCGCCUCUGGGUUCAAGUGCUGCUCCUGCCUCAGUCUC
This 2252-nucleotide long non-coding RNA is filed under the name Homo sapiens (human). RNAcentral describes it as "HSALNT0207596". Lineage: Eukaryota; Metazoa; Chordata; Mammalia; Primates; Hominidae. The record is from RNAcentral.